GGCUAUGGCUCAGUGGUAGGGCAUCUGUUUGGCAUGCAGAAGGUCCCAGGUUCAAUCCCUAGCAUCUCCA
Molecule: transfer RNA, 70 nt
Filed under: Sphaerodactylus townsendi
Lineage: Eukaryota; Metazoa; Chordata; Lepidosauria; Squamata; Sphaerodactylidae
Description: tRNA-Ala
Rfam family: tRNA
About the family: Transfer RNA (tRNA) molecules are approximately 80 nucleotides in length. Their secondary structure includes four short double-helical elements and three loops (D, anti-codon, and T loops). Further hydrogen bonds mediate the characteristic L-shaped molecular structure. tRNAs have two regions of fundamental functional importance: the anti-codon, which is responsible for specific mRNA codon recognition, and the 3' end, to which the tRNAs corresponding amino acid is attached (by aminoacyl-tRNA synthetases). tRNAs cope with the degeneracy of the genetic code in two manners: having more than one tRNA (with a specific anti-codon) for a particular amino acid; and 'wobble' base-pairing, i.e. permitting non-standard base-pairing at the 3rd anti-codon position.
Source: RNAcentral